UUUGUUGGCUCCUCUGAAGUGA
Molecule: microRNA, 22 nt
Filed under: Sus scrofa (pig)
Lineage: Eukaryota; Metazoa; Chordata; Mammalia; Artiodactyla; Suidae
Description: ssc-miR-7142-3p
Source: miRBase by way of RNAcentral